This 74-nucleotide transfer RNA is filed under the name Achromobacter sp. 2789STDY5608633. RNAcentral's name for it is "tRNA-Gly(tcc)". It matches the Rfam family "tRNA". From Rfam's summary of the family: Transfer RNA (tRNA) molecules are approximately 80 nucleotides in length. Their secondary structure includes four short double-helical elements and three loops (D, anti-codon, and T loops). Further hydrogen bonds mediate the characteristic L-shaped molecular structure. tRNAs have two regions of fundamental functional importance: the anti-codon, which is responsible for specific mRNA codon recognition, and the 3' end, to which the tRNAs corresponding amino acid is attached (by aminoacyl-tRNA synthetases). tRNAs cope with the degeneracy of the genetic code in two manners: having more than one tRNA (with a specific anti-codon) for a particular amino acid; and 'wobble' base-pairing, i.e. permitting non-standard base-pairing at the 3rd anti-codon position. The record is from RNAcentral. Lineage: Bacteria; Pseudomonadati; Pseudomonadota; Betaproteobacteria; Burkholderiales; Alcaligenaceae.
GCGUCUGUAGCUCAAUGGUAGAGCUGUGGCCUUCCAAGCCUCCGACUCGGGUUCGAUUCCCGACAGCCGCUCCA